GUGAAUGAUGAAGGCCUUAGGGUUGUAAAAUUCUUUCGCCAGGGAUGAUAAUGACAGUACCUGGUAAAGAAGCCCCGGCUAACUUCGUGCCAGCAGCCGCGGUAAUACGAAGGGGGCUAGCGUUGUUCGGAAUUACUGGGCGUAAAGCGCGCGUAGGCGGGCUAUUAAGCCAGAUGUGAAAGCCCGGGGCUCAACCUCGGAAUUGCAUUUGGAACUGGUAGCCUAGAGACCAGGAGAGGUUAGCGGAAUACCGAGUGUAGAGGUGAAAUUCGUAGAUAUUCGGUGGAACACCAGUGGCGAAGGCGGCUAACUGGACUGGUACUGACGCUGAGGCGCGAAAGUGUGGGGAGCAAACAGGAUUAGAUACCCUGGUAGUCCACACCGUAAACGAUGAAUGCUAGUUGUCUGCGCGCAUGCGUGCAGGUGACGCAGCUAACGCAUUAAGCAUUCCGCCUGGGGAGUACGGCCGCAAGGUUAAAACUCAAAGAAAUUGACGGGGGCCCGCACAAGCGGUGGAGCAUGUGGUUUAAUUCGAAGCAACGCGCAGAACCUUACCCGCGUUUGACAUGCCCUGUUUGGUUACCAGAGAUGGUUUCCUUCAUUUAGUUGGCAGGUGCACAGGUGCUGCAUGGCUGUCGUCAGCUCGUGUCGUGAGAUGUUGGGUUAAGUCCCGCAACGAGCGCAACCCUUAUCCUUAGUUGCCAGCACGUUUGGGUGGGC
This 720-nucleotide ribosomal RNA is filed under the name Henriciella sp. M30. RNAcentral's name for it is "bacterial SSU rRNA". It matches the Rfam family "Bacterial small subunit ribosomal RNA", at positions 401 to 1136 of the family's 1533-position model. Lineage: Bacteria; Pseudomonadati; Pseudomonadota; Alphaproteobacteria; Hyphomonadales; Hyphomonadaceae. The record is from RNAcentral.